RNAcentral lists this ribosomal RNA (253 nucleotides) under uncultured bacterium. Its description in RNAcentral is "partial 16S ribosomal RNA". It matches the Rfam family "Bacterial small subunit ribosomal RNA", at positions 524 to 776 of the family's 1533-position model. The record is from RNAcentral.
UACGUAGGGUGCGAGCGUUGUCCGGAAUUAUUGGGCGUAAAGAGCUCGUAGGCGGCUCGUCGCGUCGUCCGUGAAAACCCGCGGCUUAACCGCGGGCUUGCGGUUGAUACGGGCGGGCUAGAGUUCGGUAGGGGAGACUGGAAUUCCUGGUGUAGCGGUGAAAUGCGCAGAUAUCAGGAGGAACACCGGUGGCGAAGGCGGGUCUCUGGGCCGAUACUGACGCUGAGGAGCGAAAGCGUGGGGAGCGAACAGG